Molecule: small RNA, 172 nt
Filed under: Chelonoidis abingdonii (Abingdon island giant tortoise)
Lineage: Eukaryota; Metazoa; Chordata; Testudines; Testudinidae
Description: TUC338 (ENSCABG00000006571.1)
Source: RNAcentral
GUGAAAGCUUUGGAGACUGAAAUCUUCUCUUUAUCUACAGUAAAGAUACAGAACAGGCCAUGUUUUAUGCACCACCCUGCCAAUAUGUACCAACUCUGAGCUGGAAAGACAACAUUACCUCUCUGGAUAAAGAGAGAGUUCAGACUCCCAGCCCAUUCAUUCCUUAGUCACU